UACAGAGGGUGCAAGCGUUAAUCGGAAUUACUGGGCGUAAAGCGUGCGUAGUCGGUUAUUUAAGUCGGAUGUGAAAUCCCCGGGCUCAACCUGGGAAUUGCAUUCGAUACUGGAUAGCUAGAGUUCGGCAGAGGGAAGCGGAAUUUCGGGUGUAGCGGUGAAAUGCGUAGAUAUCCGAAGGAACAUCAGUGGCGAAAGCGGCUUCCUGGACCAGAACUGACGAUCAGGCACGAAAGCUAGGGGAGCAAACAGG
Molecule: ribosomal RNA, 253 nt
Filed under: uncultured bacterium
Lineage: Bacteria
Description: partial 16S ribosomal RNA
Rfam family: Bacterial small subunit ribosomal RNA
Source: RNAcentral